RNAcentral lists this transfer RNA (73 nucleotides) under Dermacentor andersoni. RNAcentral's name for it is "transfer RNA phenylalanine (anticodon GAA)". It matches the Rfam family "tRNA". From Rfam's summary of the family: Transfer RNA (tRNA) molecules are approximately 80 nucleotides in length. Their secondary structure includes four short double-helical elements and three loops (D, anti-codon, and T loops). The record is from RNAcentral. Lineage: Eukaryota; Metazoa; Arthropoda; Arachnida; Ixodida; Ixodidae.
CCGUCGAUAGCUCAGUUGCUAGAGCGGUGGACUGAAGAUUCAUAGGUCGCUGGUUCGAACCCGGCUCGACGAG